AUCCUAAUAACAAAAAAUCUAUCAACACUCACCUCCUUUUGAACAAACAACAAACCCUAGUCUUUCAAACCACAAAUACAAUGACCAUCACUUCAUUCUCUCCCUCCAAUGGCCGAAUUAACCAAACCCCAUCUCCCAAAACACCUACUCAAACUCCUCAAAUCCGAAAAAGACCCACUUUCAGCUCUUUCCCUCUUCCACACCGCCCUCCGCAACCCUAGUUACACCCCCACCCCCGCCGUAUUCCACCACAUCCUCCACCGUAUCUCCCAACACCCUAAACUCCUUCCCCAAAUCCCCCAAAUUUUACACUCAAUCCACACCCACAAAUGCAUUUGUUCAGAAGAUAUCCCAUUGAUUGUCAUCAAAGCAUAUGCAAACAAUCACAUGGUUGAUCCUGCGUUGGAUCUUUUUCAAAGAAUGAGUGAAGUAUUCGGGUGUGAACCCGGUGUAAGAUCUUACAACACUCUGCUGAACGCAUUGGCUGAAUCUAAUCAGUUUACUCGUGCUGAUUUGUUCUUUAGGAGCUUUAGAAAGAUGGGUGUGUUCCCCAAUUUGGAAAGUUAUAAUAUUGUGAUCAAGAUUUUGUGUAAGCGGAAGCGGUUUCGGAGAGCGAACGAGAUGUUGAAUUGGAUGUUUGGGAAAAGGGUGUUUCCUGAUGUAGUUAGUUAUGGGACUUUGAUUAGUGGGUUGGUGAAAAAUGGUGAGAUGAGUAGUGCAGUUAAGGUGUUUGAUGAAAUGCUUGAGAGAGGUGUGGUUCCAGAUGUGAUGUGUUAUAAUGUUUUGAUUGAUGGGUUUUUUAAGGAAGGUGAUUUUGGUAAAGCUUGUGAGGUGUGGGAAAGGUUGGUGAAGUCAACCUUUGUGUAUCCGGAUGUUGGUACGUAUAACGUUAUGAUUGCGGGUUUUUGUAAGUGUGGGAAGUAUGAAGAAAGUUUGAAAAUUUGGUACCGAAUGAAGGAAAACGAACGCGAAAUGGAUUUGUUUACGUAUAGCGUGGUUAUUAAUUUGUUUUGUGAGUCGGGUAAUGUUGAAGGUGGUAUUACAGUUUUUAGGGAAAUGAUUGCGAAAAAGGUGUCUCCCGAUGUCGCAGUAUACAAUUCAUUGCUUAAUGGGUAUUGUCGUGCUGGAAUGAUUAACGACUGCUUCGAUUUGUGGGAUUUGAUGGAGAAGAACGAUUGCAGGAACGUUGUUAGUUUCAACAUUUUGAUUAAAGGGUUAUUUGAUAAUAGGAACGUUGAUAAGGCGAUUUCUUUGUGGCAGCAAUUGCACGAAAACAAAUCCUUUGUAAAUUCGACUACUUACGGUAUUUUGAUUCACGGAUUAUGCCAAAACGGGUACGUAGAUAAGGCCUUUUCUCUCCUCAAAGACGCAGAAGAAAAAUGUAGCAAUCUCGAUGUUUAUGCAUUUUCCUCGAUGAUCAAUGGAUUUUGUAACGUUGGGCGGUUGAGCGAUGCCGUUAGUAUGCUAGAUCACAUGGUUAAGAACGGAUAUAAUCCAAACACAAAUGUCUGUAAUACAAUAAUCAAAGGGUUAAUUCAAGCUCGCAAAAUUAACGAUGCCGCCAACCUCUUGGAUAAAAUGGCGACAAUGGGUUGUUCACCGACUAUUGUUACUUACAAUACCCUAAUCAACGGGUUAUGCAAAUCACAUAGAUUCGAUGAAGCUUAUAUUCUUGUUCGAGAAAUGCUCGAAAAGGGAUUAACGCCCGAUACGAUCACUAAUAGCGUGUUAAUGCGUGGUUUAUGUCAAGACAAGAAGGUUGACAUGGCUCUGAAAUUGUGGGACCAGGUUGUCGAUAACGGUUUUAAACAUGAUGUAAUUAUGUACAAUAUCGUUAUUCACGGGCUUUGUUCGAUAGGAAACGUUGAAUAUGCGUUGGAGUUGUAUUUAAAGAUGAGUGAAAAUAAAUGUUUGCCGAAUCUUGUUACGCUCAACACGUUAAUGGAGGGAUUUUACAAAGUUAGAGAUUGUCUAAAUGCGUCAAUGAUUUGGGGUCGAAUUUUGAAAAGUGGGUUUCGUCCUGAUAUUAUUUCGUAUAAUAUUGCUCUUAAAGGGUUAUGUUGUUGCAAAAAGAUACCAGAAGCUACUUAUUAUUUGAAUGAUGCGGUUGGUAAGGAGAUUAUACCAACUGCAGUUACUUGGAACAUACUCGUGAGGGCGGUAUUACAUUCACGACCAAUGAUGCAUAACGUUGAUGUCAAAUAUGUUUAAAGUCAAUUGCGUAAUCAAACCAACCAAAAUCAAACCGAGAAUCACACCUUUUCUCCAAUCAAAAGACGGAGAUAUAACGGAGUCGAUCAAAGAGAUGCUAACCAGUCCGAUCAAUGCAAGGGCCCAUGGUGCAUCGAGGUUCCCCGACAAAUUUACUUAUGAGCGGGUCGCAGAAACUUAAAAAGUUACACAAAAAGUACUUGGGUUGGGUGUAACACAACCCGAGCCAGCCCGUUAUGUCUCAAUACUAUGAAUUAAAGGGUGGUAGGAUAUUAACAAACCCGUGCACUGGCUUCUUCAAGUUCUUUGAGAGCGUUUUCGCCAACUUGGUCAAACUCUACAUUGGCUUCUUCCGCAAACUUGGUCAAGUAUUCGGAUCGUUCAUCUAAAUAAUCGGUGAGACGGACCUUUUGGGCUUGAAGCAUUGCAAUUUUUGCCAAUAUUUCUUGUCUUCUGGCAUCACCUUCCGGGGAUGAUGGGGCAUUUGUAUCGGGAUCUUUUGAUUUGCAGAUGAAGAACCUUUUUUGAUAGUUGUUGAUGGUGAGUAAAUGAGUUUUGUGAAAGAAUUCAUGUUUUGUGGUGGUGAAAGUUGUUUGUAUGGUUUGAAAUGAAAUCAUGGUGAUGCUCUGUUUCUGUUUGGUUAGGGUACAGAGGAUGGUUUUUGAACCUCUUAUCACUGGUGCAUUAUCUUGUUUUGCUGUCAAGUUAUAUUCCAGAUGUUGUAGGCUUACUUUGUUGUACCUCAUGGAUUGGAAAGUGUAAGUUAGUUUGGACAUGGUAUUUGUUUAUCUGGAAAAAGGACCUUUAUCCUAUUA
RNA transcript from Helianthus annuus (common sunflower), 3026 nucleotides. It is a transcript of the gene named pentatricopeptide repeat-containing protein At3g09060, with no coding region annotated. The transcript has 3 exons. The record is from RefSeq and is a predicted model, not a curated record. NCBI's taxonomy places the organism in Eukaryota, Viridiplantae, Streptophyta, Magnoliopsida, Asterales, Asteraceae.